Molecule: unclassified non-coding RNA, 375 nt
Filed under: Hevea brasiliensis (rubber tree)
Lineage: Eukaryota; Viridiplantae; Streptophyta; Magnoliopsida; Malpighiales; Euphorbiaceae
Source: RNAcentral
AGAAACUAAUUCUCACUAAUGGCAAUUUGUCUACUGCUAGCAUUGAUGUCCUGCAUUGGUAGAUCGGACAGUGUUCUAGAGUGAGGAAGGCUUCCACACAUUAGAUUCCCCUUUUUAAGCAUUGGUAGAUCAAAGGUCACAGCUGUUUCCCCACCAAAUCCAGUUGGUGGGGAGGCUUUUUGGCAGAACAAACUGAUACUUUUUGAGUGGAAAAUCCUUCUUGGAGACAAGUUUACUUGCUCCAAAGCUUGGAACUGGAGCCCUGAGGGAUAGUCCCUAACACAGCCUAUACGUGGCCCUGCUCCUGUUGUCCAUUUGCAAGACAACUGUCUACCCAACUGAAAUGACUUUGUUCCCUUCUUUGAAUUAAUCCUU